RNAcentral lists this ribosomal RNA (425 nucleotides) under uncultured bacterium. Its description in RNAcentral is "bacterial SSU rRNA". It matches the Rfam family "Bacterial small subunit ribosomal RNA", at positions 354 to 796 of the family's 1533-position model. The record is from RNAcentral.
GUCGGGAAUUUUGCUCAAUGGGGGAAACCCUGAAGCAGCAACGCCGCGUGAGGGAUGAAGGCCUUCGGGUUGUAAACCUCUUUUGUCAGGGACGAUGAUGACGGUACCUGGCGAAUAAGCCACGGCUAACUACGUGCCAGCAGCCGCGGUAAUACGUAGGUGGCAAGCGUUGUCCGGAUUUACUGGGCGUAAAGAGCGCGCAGGCGGUCGGAUAAGUCGAGUGUGAAAGCCCCUGGCUCAACCAGGGAGGGUCACUCGAUACUGUUCGACUCGAAGGCAGGAGAGGGAAGUGGAAUUCCGGGUGUAGUGGUGAAAUGCGUAGAUAUCCGGAGGAACACCAGUGGCGAAGGCGACUUUCUGGCCUGUUCUUGACGCUGAGGCGCGAAAGCUAGGGGAGCAAACGGGAUUAGAUACCCGAGUAGUCC